RNA transcript from Macrosteles quadrilineatus (aster leafhopper), 3272 nucleotides. RefSeq lists it as uncharacterized. Lineage: Eukaryota; Metazoa; Arthropoda; Insecta; Hemiptera; Cicadellidae. The record is from RefSeq and is a predicted model, not a curated record. The transcript has 10 exons.
GAGUGUUAAUGUUAGUUUAAAGUUUGUUUCAUACCAAAUCUUAAGUUUCAAUAAUGUGCAGUGGUAGCCAGGUAAAACUGUUACGUAGCCUACUAUUCGUUUAACUAUUGGCAAUUCUUAAUUCUACACCUAAGCCACCAACAACUAACAAUGACUGGCAUUAUCAACACGAUGGAGGAUGCGGGGGUGAAAUGUUUGGCAGCUGACCAUAGCUCAAUUGGGUUACCAUGGAUAUUUGCUGCUAUAAUAGCUGCCAUCUUUUGGUUAAAGGUUGUAAAAGGGCAAGCAAAUGUUUUUGGCCACACUUCAUUCUUCACGUUUAACUCUGAUUUGAAGUACGAUUUACUCAUUGUCAAACUGGAAAAUCUGCAUCAUAAACUGGACAAACUUCAACAAACUCAUCAAGUGUUAGAGGAGCUUAAGAUGAAAACCAUUGAACUACAAUCAGACAUCAACUGUAUGAAGUCACAGCUGACAACAUUGAAGUUUUCAUCAGCUGGGGCAAACACAGCAUCUUUUACAGGAGGCCCUCCACCACCUCCUCCGCCACCUCCUUCAUUUUCUCUGGUGACUCCAGCUCCAUUUAUCAAGGCUAAACCAACCUCAGUCAAGACUGCGAAGGACCCUAAAGGCCCCCCACAAUUCAGCAUCUCCCAGGAUGAUAUUGCCAAGAUGCUGCAGAAACUGAAGAAAACCUCUUCCACUUCACGAUUGGUCAUUGGGUUCUGGAAACAACGUACCAAGGAAAACGCCUCCAAGAAGGAAACUCUUUGGGAAAACACCAGGGCACUCAAGGAAUCGACGAAGCUUCACAUCCCUGUCACCAGGAGAUGACCGCACCAGACACAAAACACCACUCAGUAGCAUAUCAUCUUCACCAGCUCACACUGAUGUCGAUGUCAAUGAAAAUGCCGAAAAUGGCUGUGACCAGCAGAAGUGAGAAUACAAAGUUACCUGACAACUUCCCAUUCCAGGAAAAGAAGAUAAUUUUACCAGUGAACUGUGUACUUCACCAUGUAAAAAACACAGACAGACCUAAGUACACUGCUCAUUACCUCUGUGAUAUGUAGUCUUUUAUUCUAGUCUUUAACUAACUUGACGAUCAUAUCUCUUUGAUUUUGUACUAACUCUGUAUGUACUUUUUUAUUCUAGUCUUUGUUACUAAUGAUACUUUUUUUCAACCCAAUGAGUGAGAUUUCAUAAAAUAACAGCCUUAAAGCUUUGUACGGGUAAGGAACACCUCUAUUUUGACAGCUAAUUGUAUAUUGGUUUUUUUAAUAAUAGUUAUUUUUCACUAAAUUAUUUCUGAAAUAAUUAAUCUAAAUAAAUGAGAGUUUUUUUGCACUAACCCAAAUUUUUGUUAUAAAUGUGUUUUCCUCUGGCACAUAAAGUGAAAAGGCUGAAUAAAAAAAGCUAAAUAAAAUAAAAUAAUUGAAUAAAAAUUAAAAAUACAUGUUGUGGUUUGGUAAAAUACAGUGAUUUUAGAUUGCAUAAUUGUUCUUAGUUUACUUGAAAAAAAUCAUGUCAAUAAUGUCUUUGACCUGAGAAGAUAUAGUCUCUGAAUUGUUGAUAUUGAAUUAGUCUCUAACUUCUUCAUCUUUUGGUUUAAAAGUUCAACCAGACCUGAAACGUUUAUAUUUUCUUCAUUAUCAUCUCAAGCUGACAGGAAAAAUUUUAUUGUGUAGCUGGCUGUUAAUGGCUUUGCCCAAAACCACUCAUUUAUGUUCGGUGUUGAAUUUUUCCCUUCCUUAGUAUAAAUGACAAAGGUGUUUUUAUUUCUUAAGUUGUUUGUAUAGUCUUCAUGUUCGCAAAUAGUUUAUUUUGCUAAGAAAUGGUUGUAUUACAUUGUAUUACAUGGUUGUAUUACAUGUAUUGUGUUUUGAAAGAAUAUUUUAUCACUAUGUUUAAUUAAGGAAGAAGACAGACAGAGAAAAUUUCAUUGUGUAGCAGUUAACAGGGUUAAAGCGGAAACCACUCCUUUUUGUUUGGUCACAUUGUUUUGUUUUCCUUGUUAAAAAUGUUUUUGGUUCAUUCAAUUUGAUCAUAGUGUUUUGUUUUAUUUAAUCUAUGUUGUUUUAUUAAAACUACAUAAUCAUUUGCAAACAAGAGAGUGGACAAGUAUUGGUUUUAUUUGAAACUACAAGAGUGCUUAAUUCAUUGAUAUUUUAUAGUUGUAAAUACAUGUUGUCUGUAAAACAUGGGAUGUAUAAAAUUUAUCCAAUCAUUUCAACUCUGUUUAAUGUAUUUUCUCACGUAUUACAUGACUAUUCAAGUUUUUUUGAAAACUUUACAGAGUUUUGAGUUUGUUGCACUGUGUUCUUGCAUAUUCCAUCUAAAUUGUAACAUGUACAACUUUAUUAAAUUAGCAUCAACAACCACUUGUACUAUUACCAAGAAGUAAAAUUCUUUUACAAAUAUCAUCAAGGAAUUGGCUGUUAUUGUUUGGAAGUCACCACUAAUUUUUUUAAUAGAUACUUUUCAUUAUGUACAGUCAAGUUUCACUAUCACUACAGAACUGGUGAAUAAUAUUUACAAAAUGUUCCAAUUCAUAAUGUUUAGUCCUAUUGAUUUAUAUCAUUAAUUCAGCAUUGAAAUAGUUAUGAUCACAGAUAACAGAUUUAAGUAAAAUGUUUCACAACUUAAUACAAGUAUUAAGACGUUUUUAGUUUGUAUUAAAAAUUACUCAACAUUCAAAUAUUGGCUCUUUCACGACUACCAAAAGUGGACAAGAGCGUACUUGAAUUUUGAGUUGCUUAUAAUUAUUUGUUGUCAUAUACAAAUAUUUUAUGCUUGUGUUAAGUUGUGAAACUACUCAACAAAGUCCAUUUGAAAAUCAAAACAUUUUAGAAAAUUAACCAAGCACCAGCUGUUAAUUCUCAAUUGUGUUUGAACUCAAUUAUGCCUUAACUAAUACAAUGUGAAAAGGUUUUGUCUGUUGGUUAAUUAAUAGUUGUUUUAUGUUUACAAAACUUUAUUGCUUCUAUAAAGAAACUAAAGGUAAUUGCAGCGUAUAGGUUUGACAAUUUUUAUCCUACUAUUUUUAAGGCAAAUAUUAGAGUAAUGAAUAGCUUUUUAGGCAACAACCUUAGUCUAGUCUUACUUUAAUUUACUCUAAAUAUUUCCUCUAAAUGUAUCUCAUUGAAAUAUCUUAUAUUUAAUAAAUAUAAAUAAAUUGUAUUCGUUAAAACAACAUGUUAUUAUAAUGGUUUACUAACUAUUAACUUGAUUUUGGAAGCAAAUACUAUAAAAUGAUUCAAAAAGAAAUGUAAUAC